Subdoligranulum sp. 60_17 is the source of this 92-nucleotide non-coding RNA. Lineage: Bacteria; Bacillati; Bacillota; Clostridia; Eubacteriales; Oscillospiraceae. The record is from Rfam.
CACCUGUUCCCAUUCCGAACACAGAAGUUAAGCUCACUUGUGCCGAAGAUAGUUGGCUGGAAACGGCCUGUGAAAAUAGGUAGAUGCCGGCU